This 200-nucleotide ribosomal RNA is filed under the name uncultured bacterium. Its description in RNAcentral is "partial 16S ribosomal RNA". It matches the Rfam family "Bacterial small subunit ribosomal RNA", at positions 28 to 241 of the family's 1533-position model. The record is from RNAcentral.
GAUGAACGCUAGCGGCAGGCUUAAUACAUGCAAGGCGAAGGGGCAGCAAUGUCACUGUCGUACGGGUGCGUAACGCGUAUGCAACCUACCUAUCACUGGGGGAUAGCCCGGGGAAACCCGGAUUAAUACCGCAUGAUACAUAGAGAAUACCUAUUUUUUAUGUUAAAGAUUUAUCGGUGGUAGAUGGGCAUGCGUCUGAU